Long non-coding RNA from Magallana angulata, 1263 nucleotides. RefSeq lists it as uncharacterized. The record is from RefSeq and is a predicted model, not a curated record. Lineage: Eukaryota; Metazoa; Mollusca; Bivalvia; Ostreida; Ostreidae. The transcript has 7 exons.
UGAAUAUAAUUAAAAGCUGACAAUAAGUAUUAUAUGGUUUACACAUGCAUACAGUUUUAGAUUAAAAACUCAACAAAACUAUUCUAUAUGGUAUGUUUCCUACAAAAACCCGAGAAAACAUUUUUCGCGCAACAUUUCGUCUGCUGAACCGUAGUAAGAAAAGAUGUUCAAGAUCAACGUGCGUUCCAAAACGUCGAAGAAAAAAACCCAAAUCAGCGUGGUCAAACAAGGGUAUAGUCAUUGAAAAUGUUACUAUUAUUAAUGAAUCAAGGAAAAUCAACUAGCGACAUUCCUGUUGGAUUAAGAUAACUCUUCCGCUAGAGAGAGAUUUCUCAAGUGGUGACCUUAAACAUCGAGGUAGUUCUAGUGUUGGUACUUACUGUGGUUCUUGACCUUGCUGUGGUGUGGGCGGCAGAGGAGCGCCAUCGUUCUACUUCCUCACUAUGGACGAGCUCUCCCAUUACCUUCAAGUAUGUAACGGAUCAUUGGGUACUUACAUCAGCCCAACACCACUACAUACAGAAUACUACGCCCGAACAGCAGAGCUACCAGAAACAUCAAUAAGACACAUACUUUCUGAUAAUAAUAUAUUGUUCCUGCAAUGUUUACUUUCUAGCAAACUUGAUUUUUUUCCAAAGGUAUGUUGCAUUAUAGUUUGGAAUUAAUUAUGUUUUUUCCUUUAAGUUAGAAUGCUCCUUCUGCUAGAGAGAGAAUUCUGUACUGGUGAACUUGAACAUCAAGGUGGUUCUAGAGUUGGUACUUACUUCGAGUCUUGACCUCGAAGUGGUGUGGGAGGCAGACGUGCACCAUCGUUCUACUUCUUCACACCUGGAUAUCGUCAUUUCCAAAGCAACCAACAACAGUCCGAAAGCUUUUGGGGAACACUAAACCAAACCGGAAGUGCUCAUGAUAUAAAAUCCAGCAAAGACCAGAACCAGGCAUCGUUCUUAACAUCUUGGGAGUUAGAUGGAAAUCAGCAACCCCGACGGCGAGACAAACGAAAUAAACAAUGACACUUUGGUGGCAGGCUCAUUUUCUGUCUACCAAACAGACGGCACAGAUGGACAACACUGAAUUCUCUGAUUCGGCUUAAUAGUCAACAGUGAUAUUGAAGUAUGUUCUGUUGUAUGAUCAAUUGCCUGAGAUUGUCAUUACGUACAGGACACAUCACAAGGCACAGACAUCUCGACCAUCUGAGCAGUUCUAAUACUUGCUGGAAUGAAUGAUCGAUCGCCUGUCACUACGCACAAGACAUAUCACAUG